RNAcentral lists this ribosomal RNA (497 nucleotides) under uncultured bacterium. RNAcentral describes it as "partial 16S ribosomal RNA". It matches the Rfam family "Bacterial small subunit ribosomal RNA", at positions 28 to 507 of the family's 1533-position model. The record is from RNAcentral.
GACGAACGCUGGCGGCGUGCCUAAUACAUGCAAGUUGAGCGCUGAAGGUUGGUACUUGUACCAACUGGAUGAGCAGCGAACGGGUGAGUAACGCGUGGGGAAUCUGCCUUUGAGCGGGGGACAACAUUUGGAAACGAAUGCUAAUACCGCAUAAAAACUUUAAACACAAGUUUUAAGUUUGAAAGAUGCAAUUGCAUCACUCAAAGAUGAUCCCGCGUUGUAUUAGCUAGUUGGUGAGGUAAAGGCUCACCAAGGCGAUGAUACAUAGCCGACCUGAGAGGGUGAUCGGACACAUUGGGACUGAGACACGGCCCAAACUCCUACGGGAGGCAGCAGUAGGGAAUCUUCGGCAAUGGACGAAAGUCUGACCGAGCAACGCCGCGUGAGUGAAGAAGGUUUUCGGAUCGUAAAACUCUGUUGGUAGAGAAGAACGUUGGUGAGAGUGGAAAGCUCAUCAAGUGACGGUAACUAUCCAGAAAGGGACGGCUAACUACGUG